UGGGGAAUAUUGCGCAAUGGGCGAAAGCCUGACGCAGCGACGCCGCGUGAGGGAUGAAGGUUUUCGGAUCGUAAACCUCUGUCAGAAGGGAAGAAGUUGCAUGGGGCCAAUCACCUGUGCAUUGACGGUACCUUCAAAGGAAGCACCGGCUAACUCCGUGCCAGCAGCCGCGGUAAUACGGAGGGUGCAGCGUUAAUCGGAAUUACUGGGCGUAAAGCGCACGUAGGCUGUAUGUCAAGUCAAGGGUGAAAUCCCACGGCUCAACCGUGGAACUGCCUUUGAAACUGGCAAACUGGAGUAUGUGAGAGGGCGGCGGAAUUCCUGGUGUAGGAGUGAAAUCCGUAGAUAUCAGGAGGAACAUCAGUGGCGAAGGCGGCCGCCUGGCACAAAAGCUGACGCUGAGGUGCGAAAGCGUGGGGUAGCAAACAGGAUUAGAUACC
This 440-nucleotide ribosomal RNA is filed under the name uncultured bacterium. RNAcentral describes it as "bacterial SSU rRNA". It matches the Rfam family "Bacterial small subunit ribosomal RNA", at positions 355 to 786 of the family's 1533-position model. The record is from RNAcentral.